Columba livia (rock pigeon) is the source of this 4958-nucleotide long non-coding RNA. RefSeq lists it as uncharacterized. The transcript has 4 exons. The record is from RefSeq and is a predicted model, not a curated record. NCBI's taxonomy places the organism in Eukaryota, Metazoa, Chordata, Aves, Columbiformes, Columbidae.
CUUUAACAGCUGGACAAAUACCAUACUGACGUUACCUGUUGUUAGCAACAGUUGGUGUCCAAGCGCCUUUCUGUCCCACUGAGCUUGCCUGUUGUGAUGUUUGUGGAACUGAUGCAGUACAUGAAGGCAUCCAGCCUUGCAAAGAUUGCCAGUGUGUCUCUAGCAUCCACCACACAUCAGCAAGCAUGCAGCAGUGGGUUGGAGCACUCCUAGGAGGACUGUCCCAGGAGGAAGCAUUCUAGCUACAUGAAAUCACAAGGCUCUAGCUCUCACCUGACACUGCCUCAAGGUCCUGGGCACUCACCAGCUUCCUGAUGUCUGCAAGAAGCAAACCCAGCUGUGGGCUGUUGAAAGGACCAGGAUUCUGCAAGAUAUCACAGUGGAUAUGGGAUGUUAUAUCCAUAAGUAGAUUUUGUUGCUGUGUUUGUGUUGUGUUUUGUUGUAGGCCCACUCAAAAUCUAGUGCAAAGGAAGUACAGAAGCUAUAUAAGUAAAAGAGAAUCAUAGAAUUCACAGAAUCAUAGAACCAUUUGGGUUGGAAGGGACCUUUAAAGGUCAUCUAGUCCAAUCCCCCUGCAACAAGCAGGGACAUCUUCAACUAGAUCAGGUUUCUUAGAGCCCCAGAGAACCAGAGAGUGAUUCCUGGCCCAGCAAAUACAAGCCUGCACUCAAAGCAUGGGUCACACUCAGGAGUCCAUGCCAGACAUGGACCUGCAAGCCUGGAACAGGGAGUACAUCAAACUUUUGCUUGCUCCUUGGAUGGGCUCCCUAAGAUCUCUUCAGCAUGACUGUCCUGCAGCAUCGGACUGGAGAUUGUUCAGUAUUCUCUUGAGCUCAGGGAUCUAAAAAUUAUCAUGAGCAUUACAGUCCUCUGCUUCAGGAGUGGAGGGGCUGAGAGCUGGUAGGGAGCGAACCAGGCAGUGUGUUCUGCAAAAAGCUUUAGGGCACUAGUGACAGAUCCACUCAUCUUUAAAGACAUAGUAACACAUUUGAUUCCCAUUUGUGUGAGACUCCCAUAAAAUACAUUAAAUUUGUCAGGGAGAGUAGUUUGAUCCUCCUCAUGUUAAAAGGUCAGUUGCAUCUGUGUUUGCACGUUGUAAGAACUAGUCCUGCAAACAAAUUAAAAUCUUAUCCCUUUGCUCCAGAAACAAUCAGUUAAUGCUAAAAAGUACAAUCAGGUGUACUUAAUGGUCUCAAAAUAUAGGCAUAUAUAAGUGUAUAGGCAUAUACAUACAUGAAUAUAGGCAUAUGCACAAAUGCAUAGAUAUAUAUGUGUGUGUGUUGUGUAAAACUGAAGCAUGUAUCUGAACUCCCCAUCAUGUUUACUCUCCAGAAAAAGAUAUUCCUGUCAGUUCUGUGGUUUAGUUCAAAAUAAGAUAAAGUAUGAUAUAAUGUACUUUACAUGUAAAAUUCAAAAUAAAAUGAAAUUUGUUAUAAUCCCAUUUUCUCCUCUAAAUUGUAUUUAUUUCUUGCUACUUUCACAGCUGGACUUUGUUUUCCCUUCCUAGGGAAAAAGACACCACACUUCAGCAAGUGAAGGAUUCAAACCUGUGGAUUUUGCUUGGGAAACAGCAGCUGAAAGACCUCUGAGUAGUGUCCUGUGACCACUCAGAGGUAUUCCAGAUAGCGGGACACUAUUCUCACCAUGUGUUGACCUAUUCUUAUGGUAAAAUCCAAUUUUGUAUUACCUCCUACAUCAGCCGGUCACUCAUCCAGCUCUGUUGAUGUCACAUAAGAUUGAUACCAAACAAGAGGAACAAUCCCCUUCUGCAAGGUCGAAAUGAGAUUUUUUUCCAAGACUUUGAAGAAAUGCGGUUAUCUCUGCCACCAUCAGAGAAGCCACUUAGAUGCUUAAUGCAAAUAGGUUUAUUCAGAACUGGAUUUGUCCAGCCUGGAGAAAAGAAGGCUUAGGGGAGACCUUAUCACCAUGCUCCACUGUUUAAAGGGUGGCUACAAAGCAGAAGGAAACUCCCUUUUUACAAGGAGUCACAUGGAAAAGACCAGGGGAAAUGGAUGCAAGUUAUUCCUGGGAACAUUCUGAUUGGACACAAGAGGGAAUUUUUUCACAAUGAGAACAACCAGACAUUGGAAUAAUCUCCCCAGGGAAGUGGUGGGUUCCCCAACAUUGGACACUUUAAAGAUUCAGCUGGACAGGGUGCUGGGCCAGCUUGUCUAAACCAUGCUUUUGCCAAGAAAGGUUGGACCAGAUGAUCCUUGUGGGGUUCUGUGAUUCUAUGAUUGAAAUUCAGUGUUCAUUUUAUGAAGUUAUACAAAAAUCUGCUGCUGGUGAGAGUGAUAAGAAAUAUCCCUUCCUGGAGAGACUGUGUCUCUGCUGUGAGGUGAAUUCAGCCUGUAUGUGUACAUGUCUGCUGGUUUGUUUCCACAAAGAGAAGCAGGGACCUAAAUGCUUGAUCUAGAAAGCAACUGAAGAACUGAAAAAGUUAACUUUUAGACACCCUAUGGCCUAGUAAAAUUCUCUGUCCUGAUUUAGAAGCUCAGGCUUUCUUGAAUAGGAGGAGUUUGACAUUUAGGGUAGGCAAAGCUCCUUUUCAGUUUUUAUUUGAUAUUUGUAUCUAUGAAUUCUCUUCUGAAGUUUGGCAUGCCACUGUCUUCUGGUGAAAAUACAAGGAUAUUUUUUGGAUCUGGAAGUACUCCCUGACUGCUGGCUUUGGGUAUUGACCUGACCUUACUCUCAUUCCUGGGAGGGGAUAUGUGGGUGCCCUCCCUACUUCUGAGCUGUAUGGAAAGUAGACAUGAGCAUGGGGAACAGCUUUGAUAUGAACCGAUAUGUACUAAAGGGAGUACAUGGCUUCUUUCCUAGGAUUCUGGGACCUGGGGGACCUGUCUUUUAGUUUACUCUUGUUAUUGAGUAGAUGGGAAUGCUGAGAAUAGGUCCUUUCUCUCUUGUGCCACUGGGUACAGCAAACCACAAAGUUUCUGGAUCCUUGUGCUGGAAGAACUUGCAACUUUUCUGCAAAUUGCCACUAUCAUCUGGAAUGAGCCCUCUCUAUAGGGUAGAUUCUUCAUCCUUCUUUCUAGUCUGAGAACAGAAUGAAUUCUUAGUCUUUUCUUUUGGACCCGGUCCUCUUUCUCCUCAGCUGAGAAACAAGUGGUGUUUUGUGUGGUGUUUUUUUUGUUUUGUUUUUGUUUUUGUUUUUGUUUUUGUUUUUGUUUUGUUUUUGUUUUUUUUUUUUUCCUAAGGUAUUCAUUGAUCUGUGGACUAGAAACAGGAACUGGGUGACUGGUGUCAUCACCGGCCUGUUCCACAUGUUACUCUCUCCACUGCUUGGGCCAACUAUUAAGAUAAAUAAUAUAAAGUGGGAACAAGUGGGCUGGGAGGAUCACAACCAUACAGCCUUGUUGAAAUUUCCUUUGCAUAGCUGAAGAGGCAGGAAGAAAUCUCCCCAGAAAACCACUGAACUGGAUUUGGUGUUCCCAGCUAGAGGAGACAGCAUUUGUGUAGAGGUGGGGGGGACACCCCAUCACUUGUAGGCUGGGCUGGUGCCUCCUUCCAGGAGAAAGCAAGGCUACUAGCUUCAGCCCUUUCUCCUUUGAGCCGCUGUUGUGCAGUUUAGGCAGCUCCUGGCUCAGCAUGCAGGUUUUUGUAGCUCCUACUUUUAGUACUAAGAUCCAGCGCUCUUUCCUUCUGCACGUCCCAGCUUUCAUCAUGUCCUUUUCCCUCCAAUCUUCUUCUCAGCACUAUCCAGCUUUGUUUCUCUUCUUGAGUGGAAGACACAGAAAGAUCGUAUUUCUUCAGAAAUCCCAGUUUCCCUAUUUUUUACCUUUUUGCAAUCUUCUGUCAGCAAAGCCAGGGGCAACUUGCCAGCAAUGUGCUGUGCAAGUGGGCAGAAUUCAGAAGGAAACAGCAUUUUGUCUUGUGAUCAGUUCAGGUGCUGAGGAAACCACAGCAGAGUAAAUGAUUCGUCUUUUCGAGAAGCCCAAAGGAAAAAUACUAUUUCUGAUUGAAAGUCUCAUCCUCUGACUUUGAGGUCCUGGGGAUCACAUCUAUAAAAGCAGAAAAGUGGUAACCAUGUCUGUUGUUUCUUUAAUACAAUCCUGUUUUGUUAUUUGUAAAUUGUGCUCCAUCUUCAUUAUGCCAUCCAGACAUAAGGGUGGGGGUUGCAUUUGCCAACCAUGCUCAGGGAAACUACACAUCCUAAAUUGGGUAUAGCAUGGGCUUUGGCAGAGGGAAAAAAUAACCUAGGCACUUUUUCUUAGAGCUUUUUAAAGGCUCCAGAAAAAUAGCCUUCACUGAGCAGUCUUAGCUCCUGCAAUAUUUUUAUUUUUAAAACUUUCAGUGGGAAUUUUAUUUGGUGUUUUUCAAAUGCAUAUGACUGGGUUGCUGUGCUAUGUGUCACCCUUCAAACACCCCAAAUUAAGGCCAGCCAGUGACCAGGAAACCCUGGAUUCUCCCCCACCUCUUUCCCCAGGCAAACAAUUCCUGAAACAUAAAAUUUCAAAUAAGUAAACUUGAAUGUUGUUCAUUGCUGUUUCCUACUGUGAUAAGUAGUUUAAGGUCAUGUAUUUACAAUGUAUGGCUUAAAAUAUAAACUCCCUUUGUUUGUGCUUUGCUAUUGUCUGCACCACUGAAUGCUUUCAUGGAAAUAUACUGUGAUAAAGGAGGGCUUAGAAAUUCAAUGUAAAAAGGCAACCAGAGCCACUGGGGAAUAAAGUACUCUACCAAACAAGACAUGGCCUCCAUUGACCAGCUUCACAAUAUAAUGCUUUUUCUAAAGUGCAUUUAAUGCAGGGCAGAAAUUUAUGCAUCAUAAAGGGACAAGACAAAAACCACCUUCCUGUGCUUUUCAGCAUUGGUAGAAACUUUGAUCAGCAAUUUAAUUAAAUAUUUAGUUGUCUAAAUUUGCUGCAAUUGUGCCUGAAGGUGAAAACAGAUACCUUUCUGGAUAUCCUGUUCUUACUUUUAUUUCUGUAUGUCAUGAUAUUUUAAAACCUAUCGGC